Molecule: long non-coding RNA, 385 nt
Organism: Xenopus tropicalis (tropical clawed frog)
Lineage: Eukaryota; Metazoa; Chordata; Amphibia; Anura; Pipidae
Exons: 3
Source: RefSeq, a predicted model, not a curated record
AUGAAGGGAACUGGGUGCAAGUGAUUGGCUGCAGGUCGGGCACGGGGGGUAUAAAGUGUCUCCAUCUUGCCCAGUGGGUAACACAGCAGCCAAUAAUUCAGAACUUCCUAGGAAACAGUCGUCCCGACCCCAGAAAAUCCAACCAGUCAGGAGAAGAUCUGCUGCUCUGUGUGGGUAUCGGCGCGCCUCAGCCAAUCACUGUGUCUUCCUGUUACUCUCCCUGCCCCCCCCCCCUCCUACUGUACUGACUCAUUGGUUGUACAGAAAACAGAGCGCCCAUCCGGAAAGGAAGGGGCACUUCCAGGCCAGUCCCUCCCACAAGGAGCCAAUGGGAAUGUGGGAGGAAGCGAGUGACCCAGUGAUGGGGAAGAAGGAUAAAAAUGAG